This 1470-nucleotide ribosomal RNA is filed under the name Bacillus subtilis. RNAcentral describes it as "bacterial SSU rRNA". It matches the Rfam family "Bacterial small subunit ribosomal RNA". Lineage: Bacteria; Bacillati; Bacillota; Bacilli; Caryophanales; Bacillaceae. The record is from RNAcentral.
UGAUCCUGGCUCAGGACGAACGCUGGCGGCGUGCCUAAUACAUGCAAGUCGAGCGGACAGAUGGGAGCUUGCUCCCUGAUGUUAGCGGCGGACGGGUGAGUAACACGUGGGUAACCUGCCUGUAAGACUGGGAUAACUCCGGGAAACCGGGGCUAAUACCGGAUGGUUGUUUGAACCGCAUGGUUCAAACAUAAAAGGUGGCUUCGGCUACCACUUACAGAUGGACCCGCGGCGCAUUAGCUAGUUGGUGAGGUAACGGCUCACCAAGGCAACGAUGCGUAGCCGACUGAGAGGGUGAUCGGCCACACUGGGACUGAGACACGGCCCAGACUCCUACGGGAGGCAGCAGUAGGGAAUCUUCCGCAAUGGACGAAAGUCUGACGGAGCAACGCCGCGUGAGUGAUGAAGGUUUUCGGAUCGUAAAGCUCUGUUGUUAGGGAAGAACAAGUACCGUUCGAAUAGGGCGGUACCUUGACGGUACCUAACCAGAAAGCCACGGCUAACUACGUGCCAGCAGCCGCGGUAAUACGUAGGUGGCAAGCGUUGUCCGGAAUUAUUGGGCGUAAAGGGCUCGCAGGCGGUUUCUUAAGUCUGAUGUGAAAGCCCCCGGCUCAACCGGGGAGGGUCAUUGGAAACUGGGGAACUUGAGUGCAGAAGAGGAGAGUGGAAUUCCACGUGUAGCGGUGAAAUGCGUAGAGAUGUGGAGGAACACCAGUGGCGAAGGCGACUCUCUGGUCUGUAACUGACGCUGAGGAGCGAAAGCGUGGGGAGCGAACAGGAUUAGAUACCCUGGUAGUCCACGCCGUAAAACGAUGAGUGCUAAGUGUUAGGGGGUUUCCGCCCCUUAGUGCUGCAGCUAACGCAUUAAGCACUCCGCCUGGGGAGUACGGUCGCAAGACUGAAACUCAAAGGAAUUGACGGGGGCCCGCACAAGCGGUGGAGCAUGUGGUUUAAUUCGAAGCAACGCGAAGAACCUUACCAGGUCUUGACAUCCUCUGACAAUCCUAGAGAUAGGACGUCCCCUUCGGGGGCAGAGUGACAGGUGGUGCAUGGUUGUCGUCAGCUCGUGUCGUGAGAUGUUGGGUUAAGUCCCCGCAACGAGCGCAACCCUUGAUCUUAGUUGCCAGCAUUCAGUUGGGCACUCUAAGGUGACUGCCCGGUGACAAAACCGGAGGGAAGGUGGGGAUGACGUCAAAUCAUCAUGCCCCUUAUGACCUGGGCUACACACGUGCUACAAUGGACAGAACAAAGGGCAGCGAAACCGCGAGGUUAAGCCAAUCCCACAAAUCUGUUCUCAGUUCGGAUCGCAGUCUGCAACUCGACUGCGUGAAGCUGGAAUCGCUAGUAAUCGCGGAUCAGCAUGCCGCGGUGGAUACGUUCCCGGGCCUUGUACACACCGCCCGUCACACCACGAGGGUUUGUAACACCCGAAGUCGGUGAGGUAACCUUUUAGGAGCCAGCCGCCGAAGG